Molecule: long non-coding RNA, 1968 nt
Organism: Callithrix jacchus (white-tufted-ear marmoset)
Lineage: Eukaryota; Metazoa; Chordata; Mammalia; Primates; Cebidae
Source: Ensembl
AGCUUUCUCUCUCUCUCCCUCCCCGCCUUUCUCUACCAUCCUGUGUCUCCCUACCCCCCACACUUUCCUCUCUUCUUCCCUCCCUCUCUCUCCCUCCUCUCUGUCUCUCCAGCUUUCUCUCUUUCUCUCUCCCUCCCCGCCUUUCUCUACCAUCCUCUGUGUCUCCGUACCCCCCACACUUUCCUCUCUUCUUUCCUCCCUCUCUCUCCCUCCCUCUCUGUCUCUCCAGCUUUCUCUCUUUCUCUCUCCCUCCCCGCCUUUCUCUACCAUCCUGUGUCUCCCUACCCCCCACACUUUCCUCUCUUCUUCCCUCCCUCUCUCUCCCUCCCUCUCUGUCUCUCCAGCUUUCUCUCUCCCUCCCCGCCUUUCUCUACCAUCCUGUGUCUCCCUACCCCCAACACUUUCCUCUCUUCUUCCCUCCCUCUCUCUCCCUCCCUCUCUGUCUCUCCAGCUUUCUCUCUUUCUCUCUCCCUCCCCGCCUUUCUCUACCAUCCUGUGUGUCUCCCUACCCCCAACACUUUCCUCUCUUCUUCCCUCCCUCUCUCUCCCUCCCUCUCUGUCUCUCCAGCUUUCUUUCUCUCUCCCUCCCCGCCUUUCUCUACCAUCCUGUGUCUCCCUACCCCCCACACUUUCCUCUCUUCUUCCCUCCCUCUCUCUCCCUCCCUCUCUGUCUCUCCAGCUUUCUCUCUUUCUCUCUCCCUCCCCGCCUUUCUCUACCAUCCUGUGUCUCCCUACCCCCCACACUUUCCUCUCUUCUUCCCUCCCUCUCUCUCCCUCCCUCUCUGUCUCUCCAGCUUUCUCUCUUUCUCUCUCCCUCCCCGCCUUUCUCUACCAUCCUGUGUCUCCCUACCCCCCACACUUUCCUCUCUUCUUCCCUCCCUCUCUCCCUCCCUCUCUGUCUCUCCCGCUUUCUCUUUCUCUCUCCCUCCCCGCCUUUCUCUACCAUCCUGUGUCUCCCUACCCCCCACACUUUCCUCUCUUCUUCCCUCCCUCUCUCCCUCCCUCUCUGUCUCUCCAGCUUUCUCUCUUUCUCUCUCCCUCCCCGCCUUUCUCUACCAUCCUGUGUCUCCCUACCCCCCACACUUUCCUCUCUUCUUCCCUCCCUCUCUCCCUCCCUCUCUGUCUCUCCAGCUUUCUCUUUCUCUCUCCCUCCCCGCCUUUCUCUACCAUCCUGUGUCUCCCUACCCCCCACACUUUCCUCUCUUCUUCCCUCCCUCUCUCCCUCCCUCUCUGUCUCUCCAGCUUUCUCUUUCUCUCUCCCUCCCCGCCUUUCUCUACCAUCCUGUGUCUCCCUACCCCCCACACUUUCCUCUCUUCUUCCCUCCCUCUCUCCCUCCCUCUCUGUCUCUCCAGCUUUCUCUCUUUCUCUCUCCCUCCCCGCCUUUCUCUACCAUCCUGUGUCUCCCUACCCCCCACACUUUCCUCUCUUCUUCCCUCCCUCUCUCCCUCCCUCUCUGUCUCUCCAGCUUUCUCUUUCUCUCUCCCUCCCCGCCUUUCUCUACCAUCCUGUGUCUCCCUACCCCCCACUCUUUCCUCUCUUCUUCCCUCCCUCUCUCCCUCCCUCUCUGUCUCUCCAGCUUUCUCUUUCUCUCUCCCUCCCCGCCUUUCUCUACCAUCCUGUGUCUCCCUACCCCCCCCACUUUCCUCUCUUCUUCCCUCCCUCUCUCCCUCCCUCUCUGUCUCUCCAGCUUUCUCUCUUUCUCUCUCCCUCCCCGCCUUUCUCUACCAUCCUGUGUCUCCCUACCCCCCACACUUUCCUCUCUUCUUCCCUCCCUCUCUCCCUCCCUCUCUGUCUCUCCAGCUUUCUCUUUCUCUCUCCCUCCCCGCCUUUCUCUACCAUCCUGUGUCUCCCUACCCCCCACACUUUCCUCUCUUCUUCCCUCCCUCUCUCUCUCUCCUCUACUUUAUCUUCUAGUCCAAACACUGCACAGGCUGCCAGCUAUUAACAUGGAGGGAAUGUUACGCUAA